Molecule: ribosomal RNA, 253 nt
Filed under: uncultured bacterium
Lineage: Bacteria
Description: partial 16S ribosomal RNA
Rfam family: Bacterial small subunit ribosomal RNA
Source: RNAcentral
UACGGAGGAUCCAAGCGUUAUCCGGAUUCAUUGGGUUUAAAGGGUGCGUAGGCGGAAUGAUAAGUCAGUGGUGAAAUCCUGCAGCUUAACUGCAGAACUGCCAUUGAUACUGUCAAUCUUGAGUAUAUUUGAUGUGGGCGGAAUGUGUCAUGUAGCGGUGAAAUGCUUAGAUAUGACACAGAACACCGAUUGCGAAGACAGCUCACAAAACUAUAACUGACGCUGAGGCACGAAAGCGUGGGUAGCAAACAGG